This 465-nucleotide ribosomal RNA is filed under the name Vreelandella stevensii. RNAcentral describes it as "partial 16S ribosomal RNA". It matches the Rfam family "Bacterial small subunit ribosomal RNA", at positions 338 to 795 of the family's 1533-position model. The record is from RNAcentral. Lineage: Bacteria; Pseudomonadati; Pseudomonadota; Gammaproteobacteria; Oceanospirillales; Halomonadaceae.
CCUACGGGUGGCUGCAGUGGGGAAUAUUGGACAAUGGGCGAAAGCCUGAUCCAGCCAUGCCGCGUGUGUGAAGAAGGCCUUCGGGUUGUAAAGCACUUUCAGUGGGGAAGAAAGCCUUGGGGCUAAUACCCUCGAGGAAGGACAUCACCCACAGAAGAAGCACCGGCUAACUCCGUGCCAGCAGCCGCGGUAAUACGGAGGGUGCGAGCGUUAAUCGGAAUUACUGGGCGUAAAGCGCGCGUAGGCGGUCUGAUAAGCCGGUUGUGAAAGCCCCGGGCUCAACCUGGGAACGGCAUCCGGAACUGUCAGGCUAGAGUGCAGGAGAGGAAGGUAGAAUUCCCGGUGGAGCGGUGAAAUGCGUAGAGAUCGGGAGGAAUACCAGUGGCGAGGGCGGCCUUCUGGACUGACACUGACGCUGAGGUGCGAAAGCGUGGGUAGCAAACAGGAUUAGAUACCCGUGUAGUC